Molecule: ribosomal RNA, 415 nt
Filed under: uncultured bacterium
Lineage: Bacteria
Description: partial 16S ribosomal RNA
Rfam family: Bacterial small subunit ribosomal RNA
Source: RNAcentral
UGGGGAAUUUUGGACAAUGGGCGAAAGCCUGAUCCAGCAAUGCCGCGUGUGUGAAGAAGGCCUUCGGGUUGUAAAGCACUUUUGUCCGGAAAGAAAUCCUUGGCUCUAAUACAGUCGGGGGAUGACGGUACCGGAAGAAUAAGCACCGGCUAACUACGUGCCAGCAGCCGCGGUAAUACGUAGGGUGCAAGCGUUAAUCGGAAUUACUGGGCGUAAAGCGUGCGCAGGCGGUUGCUAAGACCGAUGUGAAAUCCCCGGGCUCAACCUGGGAACUGCAUUGGUGACUGGCAGGCUAGAGUAUGGCAGGAGGGGGGUAGAAUUCCACGUGUGAGCAGUGAAAUGCGUAGAGAUGUGGAGGAAUACCGAUGGCGAAGGCAGCCCCCUGGGCCAAUACUGACGCUCAUGCACGAAAGCG